Molecule: non-coding RNA, 143 nt
Organism: Pimephales promelas (fathead minnow)
Lineage: Eukaryota; Metazoa; Chordata; Actinopteri; Cypriniformes; Leuciscidae
Source: RefSeq, a predicted model, not a curated record
AUUCUUUCGCAGAGGCAUAUAUCGUAGUCUAUGAGGUUUAUCCGAGACGUGAUCUUUGCUGGUUGAAAACUUUCCCAAUACCCCGCGGCUGGAUGACUUGAAAUAUAGUCAGCCUUGGCAAUUUUUGACGGUCUCUUAGGAGC